GGGCACCCCAUGUAAGGUGGGGGAAACAGUUGGAAACGACUGCUAAUACCGCAUAAUGUCUACGGACCAAAGGGGGCUUCGGCUCUCGCCUUUAGAUUGGCCCAAGUGGGAUUAGCUAGUUGGUGAGGUAAUGGCUCACCAAGGCGACGAUCCCUAGCUGGUUUGAGAGGAUGAUCAGCCACACUGGGACUGAGACACGGCCCAGACUCCUACGGGAGGCAGCAGUGGGGAAUAUUGCACAAUGGGCGCAAGCCUGAUGCAGCCAUGCCGCGUGUGUGAAGAAGGCCUUCGGGUUGUAAAGCACUUUCAGUCAGGAGGAAAGGUUAGUAGUUAAUACCUGCUAGCUGUGACGUUACUGACAGAAGAAGCACCGGCUAACUCCGUGCCAGCAGCCGCGGUAAUACGGAGGGUGCGAGCGUUAAUCGGAAUUACUGGGCGUAAAGCGUACGCAGGCGGUUUGUUAAGCGAGAUGUGAAAGCCCCGGGCUCAACCUGGGAACUGCAUUUCGAACUGGCAAACUAGAGUGUGAUAGAGGGUGGUAGAAUUUCAGGUGUAGCGGUGAAAUGCGUAGAGAUCUGAAGGAAUACCGAUGGCGAAGGCAGCCACCUGGGUCAACACUGACGCUCAUGUACGAAAGCGUGGGGAGCAAACGGGAUUAGAUACCCCGGUAGUCCACGCCGUAAACGAUGUCUACUAGAAGCUCGGAGCCUCGGUUCUGUUUUUUCAAAGCUAACGCAUUAAGUAGACCCGCCUGGGGAGUACGGCCGCAAGGUUAAAACUCAAAUGAAUUGACGGGGGCCCGCACAAGCGGUGGAGCAUGUGGUUUAAUUCGAUGCAACGCGAGAACCUUUACCUACACCUUGUGACAUUACAGGAAGAAACUUACCAGAGAUGGGUUUGGGUGCCCUUCGGGGACCUCCUGAAUAAGGUGGCUGCCAUGGGCCUGCUCGUCCAGCUCGGGUUUGUGGAGAUGUUUGGAUUAAGUUCCCCGACAACGAGGCCGCACCCCGUAUACCUUAGUUGCCUAGCAGGUUAUGGCUGAGAAAACCUCUAGGGAACUUGCCGGUGAUUAAAACCGGAGAGGAUGGUGGGUGAACGACGCU
RNAcentral lists this ribosomal RNA (1103 nucleotides) under uncultured bacterium. RNAcentral describes it as "bacterial SSU rRNA". It matches the Rfam family "Bacterial small subunit ribosomal RNA", at positions 119 to 1190 of the family's 1533-position model. The record is from RNAcentral.